RNAcentral lists this ribosomal RNA (494 nucleotides) under uncultured bacterium. RNAcentral describes it as "partial 16S ribosomal RNA". It matches the Rfam family "Bacterial small subunit ribosomal RNA", at positions 28 to 507 of the family's 1533-position model. The record is from RNAcentral.
GACGAACGCUGGCGGCGUGCUUAACACAUGCAAGUCGAACGGAAAGGCCUGCUUUCCCUUGUGGAUUGCGGGUGCUCGAGUGGCGAACGGGUGAGUAACACGUGAGUGAUCUGCCCCCAACUUGGGUAUAAGCCUGGGAAACUGGGUCUAAUUCCCGAUAGGACUGCAGGGUGGUGCCUGUGGUGGAAAACGAUUUUCUAGUGGUUGGGGAUGAGCUCGCGGCCUAUCAGCUUGUUGGUGGGGUAAUGGCCUACCAAGGCGGCGACGGGUAGCCGGCCUGAGAGGGUGGACGGCCACAUUGGGACUGAGAUACGGCCCAGACUCCUACGGGAGGCAGCAGUGGGGAAUAUUGCACGAUGGGCGGAAGCCUGAUGCAGCGACGCCGCGUGGGGGAUGACGGCCUUCGGGUUGUAAACUCCUUUCGACCGCGAGGAAGCCACCUGGUUGGAAGGGUGGUGACGGUAGUGGUAGAAGAAGCACCGGCUAACUACGUG